Molecule: ribosomal RNA, 496 nt
Filed under: uncultured Bacillota bacterium
Lineage: Bacteria; Bacillati; Bacillota
Description: bacterial SSU rRNA
Rfam family: Bacterial small subunit ribosomal RNA
Source: RNAcentral
AUACAUGCAAGUCGAACGAAUCUCUUUUAGAGAUGAGUGGCGAACGGGUGAGUAAUACAUAGGUAACCUGCCCCUGUGCGGGGGAUAACAGGAGGAAACUCCUGCUAAUACCGCAUAGCCAUGAGCACCGCAUGGAGCUCAUGCCAAAUAUCCUUUCGGGGAUAGCGCAGGGAUGGACCUAUGGCGCAUUAGCUGGUUGGCGGGGCAACGGCCCACCAAGGCAACGAUGCGUAGCCGGCCUGAGAGGGCGGACGGCCACAUUGGGACUGAGACACGGCCCAGACUCCUACGGGAGGCAGCAGUAGGGAAUUUUCGGCAAUGGGGGAAACCCUGACCGAGCAACGCCGCGUGAGCGAAGAAGGCCUUCGGGUCGUAAAGCUCUGUUGUAAAGGAAGAACGGCGCAUACAGGAAAUGGUAUGCGAGUGACGGUACUUUACCAGAAAGCCACGGCUAACUACGUGCCAGCAGCCGCGGUAAUACGUAGGUGGCGAGCGU